RNAcentral lists this ribosomal RNA (500 nucleotides) under uncultured bacterium. RNAcentral's name for it is "partial 16S ribosomal RNA". It matches the Rfam family "Bacterial small subunit ribosomal RNA", at positions 30 to 523 of the family's 1533-position model. The record is from RNAcentral.
AUUGAACGCUGGCGGCAUGCCUUACACAUGCAAGUCGAACGGCAGCACGGGAGCAAUCCUGGUGGCGAGUGGCGAACGGGUGAGUAAAGUAUCGGAACGUGCCCAGUCGUGGGGGAUAACGUAGCGAAAGUUACGCUAAUACCGCAUACGAUCUAUGGAUGAAAGCGGGGGAUCGCAAGACCUCGCGCGAUUGGAGCGGCCGAUAUCAGAUUAGGUAGUUGGUGGGGUAAAGGCUCACCAAGCCGACGAUCUGUAGCUGGUCUGAGAGGACGACAAGCCACACUGGGACUGAGACACGGCCCAGACUCCUACGGGAGGCAGCAGUGGGGAAUAUUGGACAAUGGGCGCAAGCCUGAUCCAGCCAUUCCGCGUGCAGGAUGAAGGCCUUCGGGUUGUAAACUGCUUUUGUACAGAACGAAAAGGCUCUGGUUAAUACCCGGGGCUCAUGACGGUACUGUAAGAAUAAGCACCGGCUAACUACGUGCCAGCCGCCGCCGUAA